UGAUCAAAUGCAGCCUUGAGGAGCCCCCUUGGAGCCAAGGGGAGGAGCAGGUUGGCAAGAAGAGGGAUGCCCCAGGUCUGAAGGAGUGAGGCAGAAGAACAGGACCUGGAGGCAGGGAACCUAAGGAUGAUUCACACUCACUUCCUGGAACUGAAUCAAAAGGAAAAUCCCACCUCUCCACAGUCAAGUAACAAAAGGAUCAGAGGCUCCUCCCUUUGCAAAUUAUGUCCCCAACUCCCGCUUUCCACUGCAUUGCAGAUGAAACAUGGAA
RNAcentral lists this non-coding RNA (271 nucleotides) under Pongo abelii (Sumatran orangutan). The record is from RNAcentral. Lineage: Eukaryota; Metazoa; Chordata; Mammalia; Primates; Hominidae.